This 254-nucleotide ribosomal RNA is filed under the name uncultured prokaryote. RNAcentral's name for it is "partial 16S ribosomal RNA". It matches the Rfam family "Bacterial small subunit ribosomal RNA", at positions 524 to 777 of the family's 1533-position model. The record is from RNAcentral.
UACGGAGGAUGCGAGCGUUAUCCGGAUUUAUUGGGUUUAAAGGGUGCGUAGGCGGCUUAGUAAGUCAGCGGUGAAAUUUUGCAGCUUAACUGUAACAGUGCCGUUGAUACAGCCAGGCUAGGAUUUGGUUGCUGUGGGUGGAAUGUGUGGUGUAGCGGUGAAAUGCUUAGAUAUCACACAGAAUAUCGAUUGCGAAGGCAGCUCGCAAAGCCAAGAUUGACGCUGAGGCACGAAAGUGUGGGGAUCAAACAGGA